This 273-nucleotide ribosomal RNA is filed under the name uncultured prokaryote. RNAcentral's name for it is "partial 16S ribosomal RNA". It matches the Rfam family "Bacterial small subunit ribosomal RNA", at positions 524 to 796 of the family's 1533-position model. The record is from RNAcentral.
UACGGAGGAUGCAAGCGUUAUCCGGAUUCAUUGGGUUUAAAGGGUGCGCAGGCGGAAUGAUAAGUCAGUGGUGAAAUCUCCCGGCUCAACCGGGAAACUGCCAUUGAUACUGUCAUUCUUGAGUACAGUUGAAGUGGGCGGAAUGUGUCAUGUAGCGGUGAAAUGCUUAGAUAUGACACAGAACACCGAUAGCGAAGGCAGCUCACUAAGCUGUAACUGACGCUCAUGCACGAAAGCGUGGGGAUCAAACAGGAUUAGAAACCCCAGUAGUCC